AAAGGAGCGCAACCCUUGAUUUUAGUGCCAACAUUCAGUUGGGCACUCUAAGGUGAMCARCGGUGACAAACCGGAGGAAGGUGGGGCAUGACGUCAAAUCAUCAUGCCCUUUAUGACKUGGGUUACACACGWGCUACAAUGGACAGAACAAAGGGCAGCGAAACCGCGAGGUUAAGCCAAUCCCACAAAUCUGUUCUCAGUUCGGAUCGCAGUCUGCAACUCGACUGCGUGAAGCUGGAAUCGCUAGUAAUCGCCGAUCAGCAUGCCGCGGUGAAUACGUUCCCGGGCCUUUACACWCUWCAAUCACACCACGAGUGUWGUAACACCCAAGUCGUGAGGAAYUUAUGAACASCACCUAGGGUGUCUUG
RNAcentral lists this ribosomal RNA (368 nucleotides) under Bacillus subtilis. RNAcentral describes it as "partial 16S ribosomal RNA". It matches the Rfam family "Bacterial small subunit ribosomal RNA", at positions 1090 to 1470 of the family's 1533-position model. The record is from RNAcentral. Lineage: Bacteria; Bacillati; Bacillota; Bacilli; Caryophanales; Bacillaceae.